AUUGAACGCUGGCGGCAGGCCUAACACAUGCAAGUCGAGCGGAUGAAGGGAGCUUGCUCCUGGAUUCAGCGGCGGACGGGUGAGUAAUGCCUAGGAAUCUGCCUGGUAGUGGGGGAUAACGUCCGGAAACGGGCGCUAAUACCGCAUACGUCCUGAGGGAGAAAGUGGGGGAUCUUCGGACCUCACGCUAUCAGAUGAGCCUAGGUCGGAUUAGCUAGUUGGUGGGGUAAAGGCCUACCAAGGCGACGAUCCGUAACUGGUCUGAGAGGAUGAUCAGUCACACUGGAACUGAGACACGGUCCAGACUCCUACGGGAGGCGGCAGUGGGGAAUAUUGGACAAUGGGCGAAAGCCUGAUCAAGCCAUGCCGCGUGUGUGAAGAAGGUCUUCGGAUUGUAAAGCACUUUAAGUUGGGAGGAAGGGCAGUAAGUUAAUACCUUGCUGUUUUGACGUUACCAACAGAAUAAGCACCGGCUAACUUCGUG
RNAcentral lists this ribosomal RNA (484 nucleotides) under uncultured bacterium. RNAcentral's name for it is "partial 16S ribosomal RNA". It matches the Rfam family "Bacterial small subunit ribosomal RNA", at positions 30 to 507 of the family's 1533-position model. The record is from RNAcentral.